This 192-nucleotide non-coding RNA is filed under the name uncultured Ruminococcus sp. Lineage: Bacteria; Bacillati; Bacillota; Clostridia; Eubacteriales; Oscillospiraceae. The record is from RNAcentral.
AGAACUGAUAAUCCAAAAGGUGGAAUGAUGGGGUAACGCCCUGAAACGCCUUCCCUGAUACUCCGACUGGCGUUUGUAACAAUACAAGGGUCAGAAGCUCGGUGAAGUCGGCAGAGAGUAGCCCAAACAGGUAAAGCUGUGGAAAGUGGUUCAGAGGUGAGCUGUGUUACCUAUAUGCCGGGGGUCUAUAAA